UCCUUAGUUCCUAUAUCCCCGUGUCCACUCAGUGUUUGUGUCUGCCCUGGUCCCACGUCUCUGUUCCCUCUGUAGUGCCUACAUGUGAGGCUGUGUCUUUGUUCAGUCUGUGUUAUGUGUUUCCUGUUUUACUUUGAAGGUCUCUGUCUUUUCUCAGUGUGUUCAGUUUACGCUUCUUUGGUCUCGUCAGUUCUGAUUUGUCCCAGCUGUGUUUCCCUCCUGUUACUCAUUCCCUGAUUGCUCCCUCUGUGUAUUUAAGCCCUGUGUUUCUCUGUGUCCGUGUCGCGAUCUACCGUUUAUUUUGCUGUGUGUGUUGCCUGUCCACCGGUCUCUAUCUCCGCCUGAAAGCGCCUGAAAGCAGCAUGAUGAAGGCGGUUCCUGUGUCGGUUGGGUGGGGGCUAUAAAAGGUGCGACUGCGCGCCUCCUGUUUCAAUUGCCUUUCCUCCAUCGAGCGCAGCAGUUUCCCAUCACAUCAGCAUGAAGAAGCUAAGCAUCGUUUUCGUCGCAGUCCUGCUGCUGGCUCUCAAUCUUACCUCCCAGGUGGCCGAGGCACAAGGUAAAAGCGGAACCGGAGGCACCAACACCCAGAACUCGACUACAGCCGCACCGUCGAGCGCCAGCGGGAGUCCCGCCGCCUUCACGCUGCUCGUCGCUCCGCUGCUUCUGUCCACGGUUCUCCUGCACGGCUGGUCCGGAUGAUCUGAUCCGCGCUGGACAUUCGGAAGCCGGCAGGGGACACAACGUUAGUGUUUAAUAAAAGGCAGAAAAAGGAAAUCACAUAAAGUAGGGAGCUUAACUAUUUACUGUUGAGCGGGCGAAACGAGCGCGACGCGCCCCGGGCCCCGUCGCGCCCCGGGCCGCGCCCUGCUCCUUUCCGCAUCCUGCUCUUCAUCAACUCUGAAACGCAACCAAUCCUCCCGCCAGUAACGGAACAUGCUCGAUGAUAAUUCAGAAAUAUUGAACCCUGUGGAAAACAUGUGUAUUCAUGUGUCUGACAACGACUGUAUGUAAAUGAGUUCUGUACUUUCAGAAUGAUGCAAAUCUGAUGUUUGACAUGUGAAUGCUGUGAAAUUAAACUUUAAAUUGUAAAAAAUA
Long non-coding RNA from Astatotilapia calliptera (eastern happy), 1095 nucleotides. NCBI's taxonomy places the organism in Eukaryota, Metazoa, Chordata, Actinopteri, Cichliformes, Cichlidae. The record is from Ensembl.